UGAACGGUAUCGUAACACCUGGUGACUCUGGUCGCUUUAAGCGUCCUAGCUGUUCCUGAAAUGGAACGGGAACCCCAAGUAGACUGAAAUCGGAGCCCAGGGAGAGCCGUUCA
Molecule: non-coding RNA, 113 nt
Submitted as: unclassified sequences
Source: Rfam